Molecule: ribosomal RNA, 403 nt
Filed under: uncultured bacterium
Lineage: Bacteria
Description: partial 16S ribosomal RNA
Rfam family: Bacterial small subunit ribosomal RNA
Source: RNAcentral
AUUGAACGCUGGCGGCAGGCCUAACACAUGCAAGUCGAGCGAGCGGCGGACGGGUGAGUAAUGUAUGGGGACUGCCCGAUAGAGGGGGAUAACUACUGGAAAAGGUGGCGCAUACCGCAUACUGUCGGAUAACCCAUAUGGGAUUAGCGAGUAGGUAAGGUAAUGGCGUACCGAGGCGACGAUCCCUAGCUGGUCUGUGAGGAUGAUCAGCCCCACUGUGACUGCGACACGGCCCAUACUCCUACGGAGGCAGCAGUGGGGAAUAUUGCACUAUGGGCGCCAGCCUGAUGCAGCCAUGCCUCGUGUAUGAAGAAGGCCUUAGGGUUGUAAAGUACUUUAAGUCGGGAAGCGUUACCGCCAGAAGAAGCACCGGCUAACUCCGUGCCAGCAGCCGCGGUAAUUC